This is a long non-coding RNA of Helianthus annuus (common sunflower), 2294 nucleotides long. RefSeq lists it as uncharacterized. Lineage: Eukaryota; Viridiplantae; Streptophyta; Magnoliopsida; Asterales; Asteraceae. The transcript is spliced from 8 exons. The record is from RefSeq and is a predicted model, not a curated record.
GACACCACACUUUUCUUAUCGCAUUAGGGUUUCAUCUUCUCUAAUACGCUUCUGCAUCUAGAUCUCAAAUCGAUGACAAGAUUUCAUCUUCUUCCCUAAGAUUCAUCGGUUUUCAUCUCUCAAUUUAGGGUUUCGACUAUAUAUUUCUUAUAAUCCGAAGAACACACAACCUUCAUUCGCAUCUAGGGUUUCUGUUUCUUCCAUCAUACACCUCCUUCUCAUCAUCCCUAAAUCUCAUUCCUGAAAGAUCAUCAAUACCAAGAUCUCUUUUUUUUUUUUUUUUUGCACAACCUCCUCAACACUAAUAUGUCUUCUUCUUCAAUCUCGCCACACCAAAGUCAUGACAAGGUUUGUUUAUUUUUUGAAAAUCAUAGCAAGUGAUUUCUAUGAUUCAAGAUAGUCAAUUUCUUUCAUCACAGAUAGUCAAGAAGGUUUAUGGAGAUGAAGAUUGUUCGAUUUCUGGGUUCCAUCACAGGUCCUUUUUUUUGGAAUCAAACACGAAAAUAAUGGAUUGGAGAUAAAGGAUCCAGCUACAAAAGAAAGCUAGAAAAGCUGAUAUAAGCGCUUUCUGGCUGAUUUUGUUAGGAUGGCUGAAUUUGAAAAUGUAAUGGAGUUGAAGGUCAUGAACGAUGAUGGAUUCGUGAUGAAUAUGCAUAUUGGGGCUGAACAUUCAGAGGGUUACAAGAGGUAUGUUUUCUAAAGGAUGGGAGAAGUACAUGAAAGAAAGUGGUUUAUAAAUGGAUACAUAUAUGUAUAUAAAUUAUUUAUACGUUUAUGACUUAUGUAAUAUGUAAUUUAAACAUAUAAUAUAAUGCUCUGUUUUGCAGAUUACUAUGAUAUAUUGCAAAAUAAAUUAUUGUUUUCUUAGAUAAUGCUAAUCUGGACAUUUUUCUGAAGUGUCUCUCAUAGGCUUGACAUCGAUUACAGCUCCUUGAAAGCCCUAAGUCACACAUUUCAAUAAGGUAUUUCUAAAUUACCCUACAUCCAUUUAUACUGAUCGGUUAGGUUGGUGAAAGGAUAUUUAAAAAAAGUUGUAUUGCUUUUUGAAUGGAUUGUCUUUGAUCAUAGUAUGCACUUAUUUUGUUAUCAACUGGAACACAGCAUGAAGAAGAAAAACUAAUGUUCAGUUGUUUAUUGCAUCAUAUAUUCCUUUAUUCACCUGUUGGCCCCAUUUUCUAAAUUAAUGAGUACAUAUAAAUUUUAUAAACUCAUUUGAACUGAUUUUUUUACAUCUAUCAAUAAGAUAAUAUUGAACUCAAUCUCGAAGAGUUAUUUUUUGUGCCACUAAGUUAGGGAUGAGCACGGUACCCGUUCGGUAUCGAAAAAUGGAGAAAAUUGGUACCGGUACCGAAGACCGGUUCGGUACCGGUGUUUUACCCGUAAAUACCGGUACCGAUACCGAAAAACGAGGAAAAUGGAUACCGGUACCUGUACCGAAUAUACACGGUACCAAAUGCUCAUCCCUACACUAAGUUGUUGUAGCAUGCUCAUAGCUGGAAGAAUGGUUAUUAAAUAGUUUUUGAUCCAAACUUACGUGUAAGAACACAAAUAUGUUUACUCGCAUGAUGCGACUCAUUGUAGACUGAUAUAAACAUUUUGAAUCUUUUCUUACUCGGAUAUGGAUAAUGAAAUGUAACGUUCAAACCGAAGUACAAGAUUGGAAGUUCAACAGUUCUUUUGUUUUUUUGUGUUCAAAGUUCAAAUACGGUUUGCAAGAGGGAGGAUGUUGUAUGCAAAUCGUAAGUAGAGGGUGGUUCAGGGGUUGGAAUAGGAAACUUUGGUGAGGUGGGACCAUUGGAUUAGCUUCUUUUGAUACAUCAAAGGUAUAUCGUUAAUUAGUUCCCCGUCACCUAUUUCCUUUGCUCGAUAGCGGGGAUUACAGAUUUCAACUGAGUCAAGUUUAUAUUAGCGAAAAAAGGUGCAUUAGGGACGAUAUGGAUCGCGCGCAUCUGGAUAGCUGCAUAAUUGGUGGCAAUUCAAUGCUAGAAGAUGCUAACAUUAAGGAUAUGAAGGAUGUGGAAGGUUUGAUCCGUCUCCCAGUCAAAGAUAACAACAGUCCACCAACCCAGAAAACAAAUUGAUGUGAUGUCUGUUGAAACUAAAGCUCUUCUUGACCCGCUUAACGGUUUGCCCAAGUAAGAAUAAAUUUUAUAUUUAAUCUGUUAACUAAAUGGAAUUUUUUGGGUGCGAAUUGACACGCAUAUUUAGUAUAAUGUGCCCAAACAUGUUUUAACAUAAUAAGUUGUUUUUCUUUCCGAAUUGUGUUCUUAAUGUUCAACUUUAGAUUUCCAUAA